AAGCAUUUGGUCCAGUGGUAUGAUUCUGGUUUAAAGUAGCAGAGGUCCCGAGUUUAAUUCUCGGAAUGCCCA
Molecule: non-coding RNA, 72 nt
Organism: Glycine max (soybean)
Lineage: Eukaryota; Viridiplantae; Streptophyta; Magnoliopsida; Fabales; Fabaceae
Source: Rfam